RNAcentral lists this ribosomal RNA (253 nucleotides) under uncultured bacterium. RNAcentral's name for it is "partial 16S ribosomal RNA". It matches the Rfam family "Bacterial small subunit ribosomal RNA", at positions 524 to 776 of the family's 1533-position model. The record is from RNAcentral.
UACGUAGGGGGCAAGCGUUAUCCGGAUUUACUGGGUGUAAAGGGAGCGUAGACGGCUAAAUAAGUCAGAUGUGAAAGCCCAGGGCUCAACCCUGGGACUGCAUUUGAAACUAUGUAGCUAGAGUGCAGGAGAGGUAAGUGGAAUUCCUAGUGUAGCGGUGAAAUGCGUAGAUAUUAGGAGAAACACCAGUGGCGAAGGCGGCUUACUGGACUGUAACUGACGUUGAGGCUCGAAAGCGUGGGGAGCAAACAGG